Molecule: ribosomal RNA, 261 nt
Filed under: uncultured bacterium
Lineage: Bacteria
Description: partial 16S ribosomal RNA
Rfam family: Bacterial small subunit ribosomal RNA
Source: RNAcentral
CACGUAGGGGGCGAGCGUUGUCCGGAUUUAUUGGGCGUAAAGAGCGUGUAGGCGGCUUGGUAGGUCCGCUGUGAAAACUCGAGGCUCAACCUCGAGAUGUCGGCGGAAACCACUUGGCUAGAGUCCGGAAGAGGAGAGUGGAAUUCCUGGUGUAGCGGUGAAAAUGCGCAGAUAUCAGGAAGAAACACCUAUGGCGAAGGCAGCUCUCUGGGGACGGUACUGACGCUGAGACGCGAAAAAGCGUGGGGGGAGCGAAACAGG